AAACCGCAUGGUUUUGAUUUGAAAGGCGCUUUCGGGUGUCGCUGAUGGAUGGACCCGCGGUGCAUUAGCUAGUUGGUGAGGUAACGGCUCACCAAGGCCACGAUGCAUAGCCGACCUGAGAGGGUGAUCGGCCACAUUGGGACUGAGACACGGCCCAAACUCCUACGGGAGGCAGCAGUAGGGAAUCUUCGGCAAUGGACGAAAGUCUGACCGAGCAACGCCGCGUGAGUGAAGAAGGUUUUCGGAUCGUAAAACUCUGUUGUUAGAGAAGAACAAGGAUGAGAGUAACUGUUCAUCCCUUGACGGUAUCUAACCAGAAAGCCACGGCUAACUACGUGCCAGCAGCCGCGGUAAUACGUAGGUGGCAAGCGUUGUCCGGAUUUAUUGGGCGUAAAGCGAGCGCAGGCGGUUUCUUAAGUCUGAUGUGAAAGCCCCCGGCUCAACCGGGGAGGGUCAUUGGAAACUGGGAGACUUGAGUGCAGAAGAGGAGAGUGGAAUUCCAUGUGUAGCGGUGAAAUGCGUAGAUAUAUGGAGGAACACCAGUGGCGAAGGCGGCUCUCUGGUCUGUAACUGACGCUGAGGCUCGAAAGCGUGGGGAGCAAACAGGAUUAGAUACCCUGGUAGUCCACGCCGUAAACGAUGAGUGCUAAGUGUUGGAGGGUUUCCGCCCUUCAGUGCUGCAGCUAACGCAUUAAGCACUCCGCCUGGGGAGUACGACCGCAAGGUUGAAACUCAAAGGAAUUGACGGGGGCCCGCACAAGCGGUGGAGCAUGUGGUUUAAUUCGAAGCAACGCGAAGAACCUUACCAGGUCUUGACAUCCUUUGACCACUCUAGAGAUAGAG
Molecule: ribosomal RNA, 843 nt
Filed under: Enterococcus faecium
Lineage: Bacteria; Bacillati; Bacillota; Bacilli; Lactobacillales; Enterococcaceae
Description: bacterial SSU rRNA
Rfam family: Bacterial small subunit ribosomal RNA
Source: RNAcentral